GCAAGUCGAGCGCAGGAAACUGACGGAACUCUUCGGAGGGAAGGCAGCGGAAUGAGCGGCGGACGGGUGAGUAACACGUAAGGAACCUGCCUCAAGGAUUGGGAUAACUCCGAGAAAUCGGAGCUAAUACCGGAUAGUUCAACGGACCGCAUGGUCCGCUGAUGAAAGGCGCUCCGGCGUCACCUUGAGAUGGCCUUGCGGUGCAUUAGCUAGUUGGUGGGGUAACGGCCCACCAAGGCGACGAUGCAUAGCCGACCUGAGAGGGUGAUCGGCCACACUGGGACUGAGACACGGCCCAGACUCCUACGGGAGGCAGCAGUAGGGAAUCUUCCACAAUGGACGAAAGUCUGAUGGAGCAACGCCGCGUGAGUGAUGAAGGUUUUCGGAUCGUAAAACUCUGUUGUAAGGGAAGAACACGUACGAGAGGGAAUGCUCGUACCUUGACGGUACCUUACGAGAAAGCCACGGCUAACUACGUGCCAGCAGCCGCGGUAAUACGUAGGUGGCAAGCGUUGUCCGGAAUUAUUGGGCGUAAAGCGCGCGCAGGCGGCCUUU
This 555-nucleotide ribosomal RNA is filed under the name Exiguobacterium sp. C1IR2T5. RNAcentral describes it as "bacterial SSU rRNA". It matches the Rfam family "Bacterial small subunit ribosomal RNA", at positions 57 to 583 of the family's 1533-position model. Lineage: Bacteria; Bacillati; Bacillota; Bacilli; Caryophanales. The record is from RNAcentral.